This 253-nucleotide ribosomal RNA is filed under the name uncultured bacterium. RNAcentral describes it as "partial 16S ribosomal RNA". It matches the Rfam family "Bacterial small subunit ribosomal RNA", at positions 524 to 776 of the family's 1533-position model. The record is from RNAcentral.
UACGGAGGGUGCAAGCGUUAAUCGGAAUUACUGGGCGUAAAGCGUGCGUAGGUGGUUUGUUAAGUCCGUUGUGAAAGCCCCGAGCUCAACUUGGGAAUUGCAGUGGAUACUGGCAAGCUGGAGUGCGGUAGAGGAAGGUGGAAUUCCCGGUGUAGCGGUGAAAUGCGUAGAGAUCGGGAGGAACACCAGUGGCGAAGGCGGCUACCUGGACCAGCACUGACACUGAGGCACGAAAGCGUGGGGAGCAAACAGG